This 65-nucleotide transfer RNA is filed under the name Ophioplinthus brevirima. RNAcentral describes it as "tRNA-Tyr". Lineage: Eukaryota; Metazoa; Echinodermata; Ophiuroidea; Amphilepidida; Ophiuridae. The record is from RNAcentral.
UAUAAGGUGUCCGAGAUUUAGGUGUUGGUUUGUAAAACCAGAAACGAGGGGUACCUCUCUUAUAA